AUUUGAUUUUAUCCUUUCUGUUUGGUUUUUUUUUUCAAAAAUUAAUAAUAUAUGUUCUGAAUGAUUUAUGGUUUGUUUUUCUCAUGGUGAACCCUCCAUCUUUUGUGACAAUCGAACUCGGAGUGUUCGUCAACCAAAACAAUCGAAACACAAGGAGAAGCCACAGACUACCGAAAGUCAUGUUGAAGAAGGAGUUGCUGGGGAUAGUGUUGGUCACUUUCAACUUCCAAAUUUUGAGUCUUUUUUAAUGAUAUUGACGACUACAAGUUUGAUCGAC
Molecule: long non-coding RNA, 277 nt
Organism: Helianthus annuus (common sunflower)
Lineage: Eukaryota; Viridiplantae; Streptophyta; Magnoliopsida; Asterales; Asteraceae
Exons: 3
Source: RefSeq, a predicted model, not a curated record